GGGUCUUUAGCUCAGCAGUAGAGCGGCAGACUUCGGUGCAAAUUCUGAAGCUACGUUUUCCAACGUUUAUUCUGCAGGUCGCGGGUUCAAUCCCCGUAGGACUCU
This 105-nucleotide transfer RNA is filed under the name Pseudozyma hubeiensis SY62. It matches the Rfam family "tRNA". From Rfam's summary of the family: Transfer RNA (tRNA) molecules are approximately 80 nucleotides in length. Lineage: Eukaryota; Fungi; Basidiomycota; Ustilaginomycetes; Ustilaginales; Ustilaginaceae. The record is from Rfam by way of RNAcentral.